UGAACGCUGGCGGCGUGCUUAACACAUGCAAGUCGAACGGAGUUUUAACGGAAGUUUCGGAUGGAAGUUUAGAACUUAGUGGGGCGGACGGGUGAGUAACGGCGUGGGUAACCUGCCUCAUACAGGGGGAUAACAGUUAGAAAUGACUGCUAACACCGCAUAAUAUAGCGAAACCGCAUGAUUUUGCUAUCAAAUAUUUAUAGGUAUGAGAUGGGCCCGCGUCUGAUUAGCUAGUUGGUGGGGUAAAAGCCUACCAAGGCGACGAUCAGUAGCCGGCUUGAGAGAGUGACCGGCCACAUUGGGACUGAGACACGGCCCAAACUCCUACGGGAGGCAGCAGUGGGGAAUAUUGGACAAUGGGGGAGACCCUGAUCCAGCGAACCGCCGCGUGAGUGAAGAAGUAUUUCGGUAUGUAAAGCUCUAUCAGCAGGGAAGAUAAUGACAGUACCUGACUAAGAAGCCCCGGCUAACUACGUGCCAGCAGCCGC
This 488-nucleotide ribosomal RNA is filed under the name uncultured bacterium. RNAcentral describes it as "bacterial SSU rRNA". It matches the Rfam family "Bacterial small subunit ribosomal RNA", at positions 30 to 518 of the family's 1533-position model. The record is from RNAcentral.